RNAcentral lists this ribosomal RNA (468 nucleotides) under uncultured bacterium. RNAcentral describes it as "partial 16S ribosomal RNA". It matches the Rfam family "Bacterial small subunit ribosomal RNA", at positions 28 to 507 of the family's 1533-position model. The record is from RNAcentral.
GACGAACGCUGGCGGCGUGCUUAACACAUGCGAGUCGAACGGAAAGGCCCUGCUUUUGUGGGGUGCUCGAGUGGCGAACGGGUGAGUAACACGUGAGUAACCUGCCCUUGACUUUGGGAUAACUUCAGGAAAAUGGGGCUAAUACAGGAUAGGAGCUCCUGCUGCAUGGUGGGGGUUGGAAAGUUUCGGCGGUUGGGGAUGGACUCGCGGCUUAUCAGCUUGUUGGUGGGGUAGUGGAUUACCAAGGCUUUGACGGGUAGCCGGCCUGAGAGGGUGACCGGGCACAUGGGGACUGCGGUAGGGCCCAGACUCCUACGGUAGGCAGCGGGGGGGAAUAUGGCGCAAUGGGCGGGAGCCUGAUACAGCAACGCCGCGUGCGGGAUGACGUCCUUCGAGUUGUAAACCGCUUUCGCCGGUGACGAAGCGAGAGUGACGGUAAUUGAUAAAAAAGCACCGGCUAACUACGUG